Molecule: ribosomal RNA, 253 nt
Filed under: uncultured bacterium
Lineage: Bacteria
Description: partial 16S ribosomal RNA
Rfam family: Bacterial small subunit ribosomal RNA
Source: RNAcentral
UACAGAGGGUGCGAGCGUUAAUCGGAAUUACUGGGCGUAAAGCGUGCGUAGACGGUUAUUUAAGUCGGGUGUGAAAGCCCCGGGCUCAACCUGGGAAUUGCAUUCGAGACUGAAUAGCUAGGGUACGGUAGAGGGAAGCGGAAUUUCCGGUGUAGCGGUGAAAUGCGUAGAUAUCAGGAGGAACACCGGUGGCGAAGGCGGGUCUCUGGGCCGAUACUGACGCUGAGCCGCGAAAGCCAGGGGAGCGAACGGG